GUCCACGCUGUAAACGAUGUCAACUAGCCGUUGGGCCUAUAUACAGGUUUAGUGGCGCAGCUAACGCAUUAAGUUGACCGCCUGGGGAGUACGGCCGCAAGGUUAAAACUCAAAUGAAUUGACGGGGGCCCGCACAAGCGGUGGAGCAUGUGGUUUAAUUCGAUGCAACGCGAAGAACCUUACCUACCCUUGACAUCCAGAGAAUCUGUUAGAGAUAGUAGAGUGCCUUCGGGAACUCUGAGACAGGUGCUGCAUGGCUGUCGU
Molecule: ribosomal RNA, 264 nt
Filed under: uncultured bacterium
Lineage: Bacteria
Description: partial 16S ribosomal RNA
Rfam family: Bacterial small subunit ribosomal RNA
Source: RNAcentral